Molecule: ribosomal RNA, 497 nt
Filed under: uncultured bacterium
Lineage: Bacteria
Description: partial 16S ribosomal RNA
Rfam family: Bacterial small subunit ribosomal RNA
Source: RNAcentral
GACGAACGCUGGCGGCGUGCCUAAUACAUGCAAGUUGAGCGCUGAAGGUUGGUACUUGUACCGACUGGAUGAGCAGCGAACGGGUGAGUAACGCGUGGGGAAUCUGCCUUUGAGCGGGGGACAACAUUUGGAAACGAAUGCUAAUACCGCAUAAAAACUUUAAACACAAGUUUUAAGUUUGAAAGAUGCAAUUGCAUCACUCAAAGAUGAUCCUGCGUUGUAUUAGCUAGUUGGUGGGGUAAAGGCUCACCAAGGCGAUGAUACAUAGCCGACCUGAGAGGGUGAUCGGCCACAUUGGGACUGAGACACGGCCCAAACUCCUACGGGAGGCAGCAGUAGGGAAUCUUCGGCAAUGGACGAAAGUCUGACCGAGCAACGCCGCGUGAGUGAAGAAGGUUUUCGGAUCGUAAAACUCUGUUGGUAGAGAAGAACGUUGGUGAGAGUGGAAAGCUCAUCAAGUGACGGUAACUACCCAGAAAGGGACGGCUAACUACGUG